RNAcentral lists this unclassified non-coding RNA (466 nucleotides) under Hevea brasiliensis (rubber tree). Lineage: Eukaryota; Viridiplantae; Streptophyta; Magnoliopsida; Malpighiales; Euphorbiaceae. The record is from RNAcentral.
CUUCGGAACCUGUGAAAAACACUUUCUAUAUUCAUAUUCAAUCAUCUCAAUUCCAUUUAUCAAAAUCUCAACAUUUUCAACCAUUCAUUUCUCAAUCAUUCAUCUCAUGGUACUCAUAUACAAUUCACAUUUUGUAUCACAUCAAGUUACAGCAAUUUCUUAACGAUUCCUCUAUUUAUCAUUUCACAUCAUCAUUAGACUCAAAUCAUAAAUAAAUUCUCACAUGUGAUUUAUAAUCACAAAUUACAAGUACUUACAUUAAUACAAAAUUAUAUUACAUUUGUUUCAAAUACACAUGAUAAAAUAAGAGUUUAAUUACCAAAUUUACAAAAAUCUCAAAAUACAAAAUGGGACCUAGUGUCCUACCAAUGCACUGUAGUCUGUGAGGUGACACGGAUACUAUACAGAACUGUGAACGGCCUUACCCAAUCUGUGGUCUACCGGGCCCUCUGUCCAAAUCUUCAGU